CAGCAGGUUUGAGUUGAGCGCAGCGAAACAACGGAGCCGCUCGCGGCGACGGCCCGAAGGGCGAGCGAAGCGAGUCAUCCUGCACGACCCACCA
This 94-nucleotide small RNA is filed under the name Escherichia coli. RNAcentral's name for it is "partial RtT sRNA". It matches the Rfam family "RtT RNA", at positions 37 to 130 of the family's 130-position model. Rfam says of the family: This family represents a bacterial cis-regulatory element known as RtT RNA. The exact function of RtT is unknown although it is thought that it may be involved in changing the cellular response in relation to amino acid starvation. Lineage: Bacteria; Pseudomonadati; Pseudomonadota; Gammaproteobacteria; Enterobacterales; Enterobacteriaceae. The record is from RNAcentral. RNAcentral also lists the same sequence under 2 other names.